RNAcentral lists this ribosomal RNA (383 nucleotides) under uncultured eukaryote. RNAcentral's name for it is "partial 18S ribosomal RNA". It matches the Rfam family "Eukaryotic small subunit ribosomal RNA", at positions 592 to 976 of the family's 1831-position model. The record is from RNAcentral.
CAAUAGCGUAUAUUAAAGUUGUUGCAGUUAAAAAGCUCGUAGUUGGAUUUCUGGUGGGAGCGAUCGGUCUGGCGCUUAGCGCGAGUACUUGCAUCGUCUCCGGCCAUCCUUGGGGAGAGUCUGUCUGGCAUUAGGUUGUCGGGCAGAGGAUCCUCAUCGUUUACUGUGAAAAAAUUAGAGUGUUCAAGGCAGGCUUAUGCCGUUGAAUAUAUUAGCAUGGAAUAAUAAGAUAGGACUUUGGUACUAUUUUGUUGGUUUGCGCACCAAAGUAAUGAUUAAUAGGGACAGUUGGGGGUAUUCGUAUUCCGUUGUCAGAGGUGAAAUUCUUGGAUUUACGGAAGACGAACUACUGCGAAAGCAUUUACCAAGGAUGUUUUCAUUAA